AGUGGAAGGAGGAGUUCGAGGCCAUGCUGUUUGGACGGCUGGUCUCCUUCAGGUCCUCGCUUCCUUGGCGGGAUGGAAGUUUCUAUGAGGAGAAGGUGCAGGGUGAGAGAGAGGAAUCCAGAGCCAUCUGUAGCCAAGGUCUUCGAUUGUCUCCAGCAACAUGUUUCUCUCCUCAUGGAGCUUCUCAACCUCCACUCUCAGUGCUGUGCCUCCAACUUCGUCCUCCUUUGAAAUGAGAAAGGGGAGGAGUGGUGGGAGGGGAGUAGAGAAGAAGAUGGACAAAGAGACAAAGGAAAGUAAAACGCGAGAGACAGAAGAGAAAGUAGAAGCAAAAAAAAAAAAAGUCUAAAGGCAAGGUGUUGACCAAACAUUUCCUGUGGAAUGAAGAAAAAGUAUGGAAUUAAGUAUUCAAGUUGUUUUACCUUGUAGCUGAAGCUUCUGGGAGCGUCACUCUUGUUAGAUGCAGG
This is a long non-coding RNA of Acanthopagrus latus (yellowfin seabream), 467 nucleotides long. RefSeq lists it as uncharacterized. NCBI's taxonomy places the organism in Eukaryota, Metazoa, Chordata, Actinopteri, Spariformes, Sparidae. The record is from RefSeq and is a predicted model, not a curated record. The transcript has 3 exons.